CCAAUAAGGAUAGCGCCUGAUCUGGCAACAGAUGACGAGGAAAGAGCUUAUCGAAAUUUUCGGCGGAUGGCUCUAGGGACUGCACUCUACAAGCAAACACAAAUCACAUUGAAAAAUGUCCACAAACCGUUUGCCGCGCAGAUA
RNAcentral lists this non-coding RNA (144 nucleotides) under Enterococcus sp. Its description in RNAcentral is "GlcN6P sequence". It matches the Rfam family "glmS glucosamine-6-phosphate activated ribozyme aptamer". From Rfam's summary of the family: This entry contains a glucosamine-6-phosphate activated ribozyme that is found in the mRNA for GlmS. Lineage: Bacteria; Bacillati; Bacillota; Bacilli; Lactobacillales; Enterococcaceae. The record is from RNAcentral.